RNAcentral lists this ribosomal RNA (253 nucleotides) under uncultured bacterium. RNAcentral describes it as "partial 16S ribosomal RNA". It matches the Rfam family "Bacterial small subunit ribosomal RNA", at positions 524 to 776 of the family's 1533-position model. The record is from RNAcentral.
UACGUAGGGUGCAAGCGUUGUCCGGAAUUAUUGGGCGUAAAGAGCUCGUAGGUGGCCUGUCGCGUCGGCUGUGAAAACUCGGGGCUCAACUCCGAGCUUGCAGUCGAUACGGGCAGGCUAGAGUUCGGCAGGGGAGACUGGAAUUCCUGGUGUAGCGGUGGAAUGCGCAGAUAUCAGGAGGAACACCGGUGGCGAAGGCGGCGCUCUGGGCCGGUACUGACGCUGAGGAGCGAAAGCGUGGGUAGCAAACAGG